Molecule: unclassified non-coding RNA, 382 nt
Filed under: uncultured bacterium
Lineage: Bacteria
Description: contains 16S-23S intergenic spacer region
Source: RNAcentral
UCCGAGUUGUCCCCGGCAGUCUCCUACGAGUCCCCGGCAUUACCCGCUGGCAACAUAGGAUAAGGGUUGCGCUCGUUGCGGGACUUAACCCAACAUCUCACGACACGAGCUGACGACAGCCAUGCACCACCUGUGCAAGCUCCCCUUGCGGGGUCGUCCCACUUUCAUGGUCCUACCACUUGCAUGUCAAGCCUAGGUAAGGUUCUUCGCGUUGCGCCGAAUUAAACCACAUGCUCCACCGCUUGUGCGGGCCCCCGUCAAUUCCUUUGAGUUUCAGCCUUGCGGCCGUACUCCCCAGGCGGGGUACUUCCUGCGUUAGCGCCGGCACCCAGGGGGUCGCUCCCCCAGGCACCUAGUACCCAUCGUUUACGGCGUGGACUAC